AAGGCACUGCCAAUCUCCUUUGGAUGAUGUACUCUGACUGAAUGUCCCCACCAUGGCUCUGCAGAUGGAUCAGUCCCCACUACACUGACCAGACCCUCGGGCAUGGCUAGUCUUGAGCAGAGAAUUAGCCUUGCUGCCCUCGCCGCUGUGCUGUCGCCUGAAUCAUGAGAGAGGACAGCCUCCUGUGGUCGCCCAGGACAUGGGAGGCAGGAAUCAAACUGAUUAUCAAGUAGCACUCCAAUUCUUUGACCGUUGGAUUACAGAAUGUGCGCUGGAUCUUUACUCUGUUGGAUUUCCUGUUACUUGCUCCCCAGAGUCCAGACCUAGGAAUUAGUUGCCCAAGGGAGUUUUUGUCUGCAGAACCCUGAGUCAUUCUGUGGGUGACUGGCCACACUUGAGCGGAGGAUCCCAGAAUCGGAUCUGGGGUCAACCUAGGUUCCUCCAGGAGCAGAGCAGCAGCAGAGAGGAGAGUGUGCCUUCUUCCUGAAUUCCCGCCUGCAGCCAGAGAGGAGGGGGUGAGGCACACACUGACCCCCUCUCCAGCGUCUGCCCUGUGUCAGACCUUCCUUCCACCAGGGCAUGGACCCGGUGUGGGGAGAAAAAGGACAGUGUUCUCCCUUUGCAUUAAGACUGAGAAGUUCCGCCAGCUCCGUGGAAGCCUGUUCCCCUGGGCUGGGUGUGAGCUGUGCUCUGGAACGGUGGAGAGUGCACUUCCUGUACCUCCCACCAUCAGCCGAGGGCUGCGGGGUUUGUCCCUCCUUGUCCCCUCCUUGUCCCUGGCUCAGCUCUCAGGUAGAAGUAGUUCCUGUCUGUGAUCUCUCGCUUGGUAUCGUGGGACCAAGAGCAGCUUCCUAAAUCCUCCCAGCAUGCAGGCUUCUCAUGCUGCGAUAGAGCCGACCCACGGGAACUCGCCUUGGAAUUCAAGUUGCUUAAUGGACAGUAUUUAACGAGGUGGCUGGACCUUCAAAAAAACCAAAAACUUCUUUAUCACUAUUGAUUUUUUUAAUGACCAGUCCUCUUCCCUAAGACUAGGGCAUCCCAGUGCCGGGGGGCGGGGAGAUCUCUUUUCUCUCUGGGCCAAGGGAGAGGCAUAGAACAGUGUGGGUGGGACCUGGGGAGAGGAGACCCCCAGGAGCCUGGUGCAAGACAAAGCCAGCACUGCAGGGGCUCCAUAGGAAGCCACAGGGGUGGCCCCCAAUCCUGGAGGAACCUCUUAAACCAGCAGGAACAGACAUGAGAGUGGCCAAGGAGUCGCCCAGGCUGUGGGUUCCUCAGCAGGAGCCUCCAGAUGAAAGACUAAGAAUUUCCUCCAUGAGUCCAAAGCUGCCGUGGAUGACCCCUUGGCACCCUGCAGCCCCAACUCCACCAUGUUGUCAUUGGGCCUGUGCCACCUGCACACCUGUCCCCACACCUGUCUCUGCAGCUGGAGGCGUCCAGCGGGUCUCAUGUAUACAGAGACAUCUGAGGAGUGGCUGAGAGCUGCUGGCAUCCCAGCGGCAGAGCUGGCUCAUAAUUCUCCUAAUCCCCGCGGCGUGUCUCCCAGCACACCCCACCUGAACCUGGGAGGCUGGCUUGAAGUGGAGCCCUCUAGUCCUGCCUCCCUCUCCGCUCUGCUGCAAGGUAGGGAUGCCUUACCCGAGAAUCUGCUGCACCUUGCAAAUCAUGCAAAAGCCUCUCCCUUCUCCAACACACACGUGGCAAGCAUACCCACAAAAUCACACAAAAUAAAUAUGCCCACACAACAUACGACAGACACGCAAAAUACACAACAUAUACAAU
Molecule: long non-coding RNA, 1779 nt
Organism: Sciurus carolinensis (gray squirrel)
Lineage: Eukaryota; Metazoa; Chordata; Mammalia; Rodentia; Sciuridae
Exons: 3
Source: RefSeq, a predicted model, not a curated record